Molecule: ribosomal RNA, 253 nt
Filed under: uncultured bacterium
Lineage: Bacteria
Description: partial 16S ribosomal RNA
Rfam family: Bacterial small subunit ribosomal RNA
Source: RNAcentral
UACGUAGGGGGCUAGCGUUGUCCGGAAUCAUUGGGCGUAAAGAGCGUGUAGGCGGCCCGGUAAGUCCGCUGUAAAAGUCAAAGGCUCAACCUUUGAAUGUCAGUGGAUACUGUCGGGCUAGAGUCCGGAAGAGGCGUGUGGAACUCCUGGUGUAGCGGUGGAAUGCGCAGAUAUCAGGAAGAACACCAACGGCGAAGGCAGCUCGCUGGGACGGUACUGACGCUGAGACGCGAAAGCGUGGGGAGCGAACAGG